CCCUUAGAUGUUCUGGGCCGCACGCGCGCUACACUGACGAAUUCAACGAGCUUAUAACCUUGGCCGAAAGGUCUAGGUAAUCUCCAAAAUUCGUCGUGAUGGGGAUAGAUUAUUGCAAUUAUUAAUCUUCAACGAGGAAUGCCUAGUAAGCGCAAGUCAUCAGCUUGCGCUGACUACGUCCCUGCCCUUUGUACACACCGCCCGUCGCUACUACCGAUUGAAUGAUUUAGUGAGGACUUCGGACUGGGACCGAUGCGGCUUUCGGGCUGCGUCGGUAUUCUGGAAAGAUGUCCAAACUGUAUCAUUUAGAGGAAGUAAAAGUCGUAACA
This 329-nucleotide ribosomal RNA is filed under the name uncultured eukaryote. RNAcentral's name for it is "partial 18S ribosomal RNA". It matches the Rfam family "Eukaryotic small subunit ribosomal RNA", at positions 1470 to 1796 of the family's 1831-position model. The record is from RNAcentral.